GGGCCCGCACAAGCGGUGGAGCAUGUGGUUUAAUUCGAUGAUACGCGAGGAACCUUACCAGGGCUUAAAUGCAGAACGACAGAGGUGGAAACACCUCCUUCUUCGGACGGUCUGCAAGGUGCUGCAUGGUUGUCGUCAGCUCGUGCUGUGAAGUGUCGGGUUAAGUCCCAUAACGAGCGCAACCCCUAUUUCUAGUUGCCAGCGGUUCGGCCGGGGACUCUAGAGAAAACUGCCAGCGUAAGCUGUGAGGAAGGUGGGGAUGACGUCAAAUCAUCACGGCCCUUACGUCCUGGGCCACACACGUGCUACAAUGGUAAGGACAGACGGCCGCAAACCCGCGAGGGGAGCCAAA
Molecule: ribosomal RNA, 352 nt
Filed under: uncultured bacterium
Lineage: Bacteria
Description: bacterial SSU rRNA
Rfam family: Bacterial small subunit ribosomal RNA
Source: RNAcentral